GCCUGGGUAGCUUAGUUGGUUAAGUAUCUGACUUCAGCUCAGGUCAUGAUCCCAGGUC
RNAcentral lists this transfer RNA (58 nucleotides) under Mustela putorius furo (domestic ferret). Lineage: Eukaryota; Metazoa; Chordata; Mammalia; Carnivora; Mustelidae. The record is from Rfam by way of RNAcentral.